Molecule: ribosomal RNA, 119 nt
Filed under: Pteropus alecto (black flying fox)
Lineage: Eukaryota; Metazoa; Chordata; Mammalia; Chiroptera; Pteropodidae
Source: RNAcentral
GUCUACGGCCAUGCCACUCUGAACACACCAGAUCCCAUCUGAUCUUGGAAGCUAAACAGGAUAGGGCCUGGUUAAUACUUGGAUGGGAGACCACCUAGGAAGACCAGGUGCUGUAGGCG